AAUUCCCCAGGAAUGCGGCAAAUGAAUCCCAACUGUACUAGACGUGAAAACAUUAACCCGAGGAAUUUUGUAAAAUUAGCCUUCUGGAGAUUUAUAACCUCCGUGUACACGGACAAUGGGCUCAGAGAUGAACGUGCACAGGAAGUCCGUAAAGGUCUGCUGUGAUGAUUCAAAUAACUGGGGGAACGCCUGCUCCUGUGGCUGACGGACGUUUCUCGGAUCAUUUUUGAAAUCCUAACGGAAGACGAUGCAGUUCGAAUGGAAGAGGACAUGAAUAUGUUUUUUCCCAGCUAUAUAAAUGAUGAGGACGUGUCCAAAUUAAGAAAAGGAGUUCAAAGCAACCCACUCGGUGUGAAAUGACGCUUCGGUUCAAACAAAUAUGGAAAUUAAUAAAAAUAAUGCACACUGCACAGUAUUAUUCUGUUUAUACCAGGAGAGCGAUAUGAAUCUGACCUAAAUAUAAACACAUCUCUUGUUGAACAGUCCUUCCUUCUAGAUGCCACACCUCAAGUAACCAAGUGAGUGCUAAAGAUUACGAGAUCAGGUGGUGCAACGAUCGGCGUCGUGUUACAAUCAAGGGCUCUAAAGCCCCGCCCACAGGGUGACUCAACUGUGCCCGUUGUUUCACAACCGCCGUGCGAGCUUGGUAAAGUUCCACUACUGAGGAAACGAUGACACGCUCUGCCACACGGGACAGGAUCGAUGAGUCACCACUUCAACGGCGUUUAAUGAAUGAACCUCAUUUGAAAACGCCUCCAGGGCCCUCGACAAUAAAGUAAGACGGAAUAUACUUUUCACAUUCACACACGAGCACACAGAAGAAUCCAUCCCAUCCCCAACAUCCACUCCGCAUGCGUCCAUGGAGGAGGAAAGUGUCCGACCUGCUCGAGAUGGUUGAAUAAGUGAAGUGGAGAUAACGUCGACGGUACAAUAGUACCAGGCUGGUGAAGGAAGCGCUAACGGAUUCCGCAUUUUUAAGCCGAAGCUUGACCACAACAUAUUUGGUUAAAACAAACAGCCAUUGUUUUCUGUGGAGUCAGCACUGCGCCAGACUUUUCAUCCUUUUCAAAUGCGACGCCGCUCGUCUGCAACGCGUCAUUUUGUAACCGAGAAGGCGUUUUGGCUUGGCGUGCUCUCGUUCAUUUGGCGUGCACUCAACACACCAGACAGAAUGCUGUUAUUGGAGGAAGUAACGAGCGCGGCAGCUUUAAAAAAAAAAAAAAAUAGUGAUCAAGGGAUCAAAUUUACGCCGAAGUGAAGAGCGGUAUACGUGCAUUUCAAUAAGCGCGUCAGAAAUAUUUGAAGAAACUUCAAAGUGUUACAUUUGACACAUGACUUGUCAUCCAGUGAAGCCAGCCCAGGGUCACGGGGUACACCUGGAAUCUGAAAACCAGAUUAAGGAACCAAACUGUUAAAACAACGUGGCGCGUGGCCACGGCAAGUGAAUCCAACUUCACGUCACUUUCUUUUUUAAAAAAAAAGAGAAAUGUUGACUCAAAUUUGGAAAUAAAGUUAUCGCAAUCAUUAGAGAGAGAGCUGUGACUGUUUAACACAAAUGCCUCCUUUGACCUUAUUGGACUUUUUGCCUUGUGGCGUAAAAAGAGGGUCAUUACAUUAUUUUAUAAUAAGGUCCGGGCAGCCAGAGGGUGUUCCCCUUCUUUCCUCAGCCCGACCUCCCAUUACAAAACCAGAGCUCUGCAAUCACUGAAUGAGCUGAAGUCAUUAUUACUACUCACCCACUUCUGUGUGUGUGGGUUGGGUGUGUUGUAUGUGUGAGUGUGUGUGUCCCCCAAUCAGGAGCUUUGGCAGGCCCGAUAGCAGCUGGCGAAGCGUCAGCCAGCGGUUUAUUAAAACCGCUGGCUGACGCUUUCCAGAGCGCCGCGACAGCUCUGCCGUUCUGUUGAUCGGUUCAGGCGGCAGGAAACGGAAUCACUCCACCGAACCGGCUUCUGGUUACAAAGCGGUCGGUUGUCUCCGUGCCAAACUGGCUUCUUAGUGCCAGCUCGGCUUUUUUUUCCUCUUUUUAUUUUUUGCAUUUAUGGGUUUUCCCAGCGUGAGACAAACAUGUGUCUGUAAGUGCAGAAAAUGGCAACGAACCAGACUGAUGGCAUUUAAAAAAAAUGUAAUGUUAGCAAUCAAAACGCAUGAAAUUGAAAGAAUUUCAAAAUGUUUAGAAAAGAACGUUUGACUAAACAUAACAACCCCGUGUGUACCCCAACGGCAGCCAACAGUCUGCCAGGAGCUUCCGAAGACACAGAGGCCGUUAUUGCUUUGGCCUCGCUGGAGGUAAGGGGGGCACAGGAGGAACCCAGGGCUGAGCGGGACCCCUGCUGCAGUAAAGACAAGGGGGGUGCUUGGAAGCAUUACAACUUCUGUCCACAAAUUAAAGUUCCCUGUAGUGGCUUCACGGUGUAAUUUAACAGCUGGGAAACAUGAUAUGAAACAACAACAAGUUGGGAUAAGAGCAUCAGAAGAAGAAAAAAAACACAUCAAGAAUGAAUUCAUUUGGAGUGAACAAGGUUUUUUUUUUUACAGGGCUGAUGCGUUUAUUGCCUACUGGCUGUUGAUUUCUGGAAAACGUCAUGAUUCACCAACAUGUGGCCGUGAUUUACUGAGCGAGGGAAGAGUGAGUGGCCAUUAAUGUCGGGCGUGUCCAUGUGCUUGUACGUACACAUUUGUCGAGUAACAACCGGCUGAACCACAGACCCCCAUUAUGACAGCGAUGAGGAGGAUGGAGGUGAAUGACGUGAUGGCUGUGACGCAACAGCACUUAUUGCUCAUCAGCACCAAACAAGACCAGCUCGACAAACUGGACUACGUUCACCAGCCUGGUUGUGUUGAUAUUGUUGGAUGAAGCUGGGCCAGAUGCCUGCCCCCGCCGUCCCCCAAAAAUACAAAGGAGUCAGCGCUACAGCAAGCUAAUGAUCGCGGCAAUUCAUUUGUUUGCUAGCUAUAAAAGUAUUAGUCUAUCAAAGUUAGUAUAUUUUUAACAUGUUAGCUACCAUGUUAUUGUGUUAAAAAGGAUGGUGUGCACACUUAAUCAGAAAUCCAAUAUUACCAUUGGGCGUCUUCCCCCAAAAACCCUUCUUACACCAUCACAUAUUACAAAAAAACAAAGAAACCCAGCCUACACUAUCGCCUCUAUUUUGAGACAAUAAAUACAAAAUAUCCUGUGCGACAUGCAUGAAUUCCAACGUGCAGCACAGGACACAGCUACACAACAGGAGUGUUUUUACUCCAGAUGAGGCGUGAUCAUGACGAUGAGUGCCAUCCGCUCAAAACAUGACCGGAGGCCUCGCCGGUUGAUCUGGGUCGUUCCUGCACUGAUGAGUAUUCAGGGAGCGGGACCAGUUUUAUGACCAGCAGCCAAGUCGGAUUGGCUUUUUGGAUCUCGCCUUCCUCCUCUGACUGCGUCUCGACUCUUCUUUGAUCACUGCAUGUCAGUGUUUUACUGCGGCAGCAUUUACUUAUUGAGAUUUCUUUUGUAUUAUUAUCAAACUAUAAUGUAACCGUCUAACAGCAGAAAACAUACAUGUCUUUCUUUUCUUUGAAGGGUGUAGGCAGAACCCUUUACAGUGUGUGUCUGCGCUGAAGGCCCCUCUAGGGGUGAAUGCAUUUGUACAAAUAUUUUUCUGGAUCUAUUCUUAAGAGCUGUAAAUUAAAAUAAGAUAAGUAGAAAAGUGCGUCUGGUCACAGUAAUAAGGUGAUGUCCGUAUGAAAUUAACCAAAUUAACUAAAAGACAGGUCUAGGCAACCUUCGCUGAUGAUGGUUAACUUCUUCUUUUUUGUUGCUUCACGCCACACGUUAAAACCAGCUAGAGGAAGUUAUUGGUCAGAAAAGAGAAGUCAUUUUUGUUGGUGCACAAGCAUGUGAGAACUGAAUUUCUUGUUGUGUUAAUCUAGAGGGGAAACUUGAAAAAAAAAAAUGUAGAAAAAAAACAAACACAUAACCAAUGUUGUACCUGACGUCUGUAGCG
Long non-coding RNA from Cyclopterus lumpus (lumpfish), 3977 nucleotides. RefSeq lists it as uncharacterized. The transcript has 2 exons. Lineage: Eukaryota; Metazoa; Chordata; Actinopteri; Perciformes; Cyclopteridae. The record is from RefSeq and is a predicted model, not a curated record.